This 922-nucleotide long non-coding RNA is filed under the name Oryctolagus cuniculus (rabbit). RNAcentral describes it as "lncRNA (ENSOCUG00000033728.1)". Lineage: Eukaryota; Metazoa; Chordata; Mammalia; Lagomorpha; Leporidae. The record is from RNAcentral.
AAACUUGUAUGUGAACAGGAGCAAAACUGGAGUACUGCCUUUGGAACGGUGGCGUGAUUAAAGGAGCCUUCUAAAAGCUCGAGUUUCACGACUACCAUUUGCUUCAUUAACAGCAGUAACUUCUUGGGGAUAAAGCUUGCUUGAAAUGCCAAUCUACCCGUGCACUCGAGUACUGGGUUAUAAGCUUUGUGGGAGCGGAACUUUGGCAUGUCUUGUAAACCAGGCACUUAAUAAGCGUUGGAUGAGGAUAAUGAAGAUGCGCCUGCAGAUGUUGACCUUUCCCGGACCAAACACCUUCCAGACUUUGUCAUUUUCUACUCCUGAGUUAAGAAUUGGAGACACUGGAAGCCAAGACCCUCCGGCCGCCAUGUGCCAUCACGAAGCUGCGGAUGAACCGGCAAUUAAAACUUGCAAACUCCUCGGCUCUGUCUCGGAGGCUUCCGCCCGAUCUCUUCUCACCUCUAUUCUCAGAAUGGCUGAAGACUGGAACUGAGGAGGCCACUGAAUGAGACAAAGAGAAAAAAGCUGGACCGUUAGUGACAUCCUUUGAAUACUGCAUCAAGCCACACCUGAACUUGUUGCUAUCUGGUAUGCGUGUUAUAACUACUAGUCACUUGAUUAUCAUCUGUUUGGACUGAACUCUAAAUACCAUUGCCUUUUCAGCUCCAGAGAGUGCCAUAGUGUUGCCUGAAGCUUGCAGGCCUGCACCACUGCCUCACUUCUCCCUCUACCCAGGACUGCUUUUCUCUUACACGGAGGUUGAGCCCAAGGGCACAGGAUAACAAGAAUACUGCACAGGAAACUCUAUAAUAUUCUUCCUGGAGAACCCAAAACCAUGACAGAGAUGGCUGUUUUUUGGAUUUUCCAUGGGUUUACCUCCAAUCACAAUAAAACAAAACAGAAGAAUUGUAUUGCCCUUUAA